GGCUUUAUAGUCAAUAAUGACAUUAGACUGCAAUUCUAAAGGAAUAAUAAAUUAUUAAGGCUU
This 63-nucleotide transfer RNA is filed under the name Dohrniphora cornuta. RNAcentral's name for it is "tRNA-Cys". The record is from RNAcentral. Lineage: Eukaryota; Metazoa; Arthropoda; Insecta; Diptera; Phoridae.